Molecule: ribosomal RNA, 567 nt
Filed under: uncultured bacterium
Lineage: Bacteria
Description: bacterial LSU rRNA
Rfam family: Bacterial large subunit ribosomal RNA
Source: RNAcentral
GCGGGACACGUGGAAUCCUGUCUGAACAUGGGGGGGACCAUCCUCCAAGGCUAAAUACGACCUACCGACCGAUAGUGAACCAGUACCGUGAGGGAAAGGCGAAAAGAACCCCGGAGAGGGGAGUGAAAUAGAACCUGAAACCGUAUGUGUACAAGCAGUGGGAGCCCGCAAGGGCGACCGCGUACCUUUUGUAUAAUGGGUCAGCGACUUAUGGUUCGUAGCAAGCUUAACCGCAUAGGGAAGGCGAAGGGAAACCGAGUCUGAAUAGGGCGUAAAGUUGCGAGCUGUAGACCCGAAACCGGACGAUCUAGCCAUGGCCAGGGUGAAGGUGCGGUAACACGUACUGGAGGCCCGAACCCACGUCUGUUGAAAAAGACGGGGAUGAGUUGUGGCUAGGAGUGAAAAGCUAAUCGAGUUCGGAGAUAGCUGGUUCUCCCCGAAAGCUAUUUAGGUAGCGCCUCGAGUAUUACUUCUGGGGGUAGAGCACUGUUAUGGCUAGGGGGGUCAUAGCGACUUACCAAACCAUGGCAAACUCCGAAUACCAGAACGUAUCAGCUCGGGAGACAC